Molecule: ribosomal RNA, 253 nt
Filed under: uncultured bacterium
Lineage: Bacteria
Description: partial 16S ribosomal RNA
Rfam family: Bacterial small subunit ribosomal RNA
Source: RNAcentral
UACGUAGGUGGCAAGCGAUACUCGGAAUCACUAGGCGUAAAGCGCAGGUAGGCGGUUUGGUAAGUCUUUUGUGAAAGCCCCCGGCUCAACCGGGGAGGGUCGUUGGUGACUGUCGCGCUUGAAGGCAGCAGGGGUGAGUGGAAUUCCCGGUGUAGUGGUGAAAUGCGUAGAGAUGUGGAGGAAUACCGAUGGCGAAGGCAGCCCCCUGGGUCAAUACUGACGCUCAUGCACGAAAGCGUGGGGAGCAAACAGG